This is a long non-coding RNA of Myotis davidii, 462 nucleotides long. RefSeq lists it as uncharacterized. Lineage: Eukaryota; Metazoa; Chordata; Mammalia; Chiroptera; Vespertilionidae. The transcript is spliced from 2 exons. The record is from RefSeq and is a predicted model, not a curated record.
AAGCCCUUUGGGUAGUUAUGAUGGUGCCAUGUGUUCGUCAAAUGUGUUCCCCUUUCAGGCCAAGCUGCUGCAAGCCAAGCUGGAUUACUCAUGCCCAGUGCUGACUGGAGGGCGGAAUAUCUUUGCUGGCUGCUGAGAUGAUAUCAUGGCAAUGAGACAGGAAGUUAUCAUGUGAAAAGUAUGCGGUGUCUACAGCAAGAGCAGUGAGUUCCCAUCCUUCACUCUAUGGAAAACCUACGAAACUUCUUUCGGAAAACUCUGGCUUUGGGUCUUAAGGUAUCUAACCGACAUGCCGGGAUACAGAAUCGGUGAUGAAAAUGGGAGUCAGGGCGCUGACAAGAACACUGGAAAUUUCCACCAGAGAUUUCACAACACAAUGAGAGAAACCAGAAGACAGACAUGCUGAAGUCCUGUGCCUUACGCACCAGAAUAAGCUCAUUAAAUAUUUCUUUGAUGAAUGAA